Molecule: non-coding RNA, 786 nt
Organism: Peromyscus maniculatus bairdii (prairie deer mouse)
Lineage: Eukaryota; Metazoa; Chordata; Mammalia; Rodentia; Cricetidae
Source: RefSeq, a predicted model, not a curated record
UGAAAGUUGCAUCAAUGGCUGUGGAGCCUGCAUGGGGCUGGACUAGGCCCUCUGGAUGGACCCAGCACAUAGGAUGGUGCUGCCCACCCUUGAUGACCAAUCCUGUGUAACCUGCACGCCUUUGGAUUUGCCCAGACUAGCAUGAUGGAUGAAGACUAGGAGACUGAAGAAAGGACAGACUCAAAGACACAUGUACAGAAAUCUGGGCUCUGGUGGAUUGCUGUGAUGGAAAAACACUAGCAGCAGCCUGGAAACUCAGUUUAUUUUAUACAUCUAAAUCAUGGCUUCAUUACAUACAGCUGAACAAGGAGGUGGGCUUAAUUGUAUACAGCUAAAGGAGGAGUCAGUGUUAGUUCAUGUCAGUAAGAAGUCUCUCUAGGGGAGUGGUUUCAGCCUGUAACAUUGGGGAGAAGGAAGCUGUGGUCAUACUUUCUGCAUAUAUUGCUUUUGGCAAAAGGUCAAUUCUUUAGCCUUUUUUUUUUUUUUUUUUUUUGACCAAGGGAAAGUUUUGCCAUUCCUCUGAGCCUUGCCCAGGGAAGGCUUUGACAUUUCUAUGAGUCUGAAGUAUUGUGGUCCUUGACAUGGCGGUUUUUGAGUUAACAACACAUGGCCACUAUUGAGUCAACAACAGUAUUCACUCAGGACUUCUUCCACUCCCCACACUCAGGACCAGUUCUUAUAGUUAAUCUUCUCUGGAAACACCCUCAUAGUCACACCCAAAGGUGUUGCUAACUGAUGCCCUAGGCAUUUAAUAAUCCAAUUAAAUUGACAAUGAAGAUUAACCAU